GAUGAACGCUGGCGGCGUGCCUAAUACAUGCAAGUCGAGCGAACAGAUGAGGAGCUUGCUCCUCUGACGUUAGCGGCGGACGGGGGAGUAACACGUGGAUAACCUACCUAUAAGACUGGGAUAACUUCGGGAAACCGGAGCUAAUACCGGAUAAUAUAUUGAACCGCAUGGUUCAAUAGUGAAAGACGGUUUUGCUGUCACUUAUAGAUGGAUCCGCGCCGCAUUAGCUAGUUGGUAAGGUAACGGCGUACCAAGUCAACGAUGCGUAGCCGACCUGAGAGGGUGAGAGGGCACACUGGAACUGAGACACAGUCCAGACUCCCACGGGAGGAAGCAGUAGGGAAUCUUUCGCAAUGGGCGGUAGGCUGACGGAGCAAUCCCGCGUGAGCGAUGAAGGUAUUCGGAUCGUAAAACUCUGUUAUUAGGGAAGAACAAAUGUGUAAGUAAAUGUGCACGUCUUGACGGUCCCUAAUCAGAAAGCCACGGCUAACUACGUG
RNAcentral lists this ribosomal RNA (497 nucleotides) under uncultured bacterium. RNAcentral's name for it is "partial 16S ribosomal RNA". It matches the Rfam family "Bacterial small subunit ribosomal RNA", at positions 28 to 507 of the family's 1533-position model. The record is from RNAcentral.